UACGGAGGAUCCGAGCGUUAUCCGGAUUUAUUGGGUUUAAAGGGAGCGUAGGUGGAUUGUUAUGUCAGUUGUGAAAGUUUGCGGCUCAACCGUAAAAUUGCAGUUGAAACUGGCAGUCUUGAGUACAGUAGAGGUGGGCGGAAUUCGUGGUGUAGCGGUGAAAUGCUUAGAUAUCACGAAGAACUCCGAUUGCGAAGGCAGCUCACUGGACUGCAACUGACACUGAGGCUCGAAAGUGUGGGUAUCAAACAGG
RNAcentral lists this ribosomal RNA (253 nucleotides) under uncultured bacterium. RNAcentral describes it as "partial 16S ribosomal RNA". It matches the Rfam family "Bacterial small subunit ribosomal RNA", at positions 524 to 776 of the family's 1533-position model. The record is from RNAcentral.